UAGCGUUGUUCGGAAUUAUUGGGCGUAAAGCGCGUGUAGGCGGUUUGUUAAGUCUGAUGUGAAAGCCCCGGGCUCAACCUGGGAAGUGCAUUGGAUACUGGCAGACUUGAAUACGGGAGAGGGUAGUGGAAUUCCUGGUGUAGGAGUGAAAUCCGUAGAUAUCAGGAGGAACACCGGUGGCGAAGGCGGCUGCCUGGACCGAUAUUGACGCUGAGACGCGAAAGCGUGGGGAGCAAACAGGAUUAGAUACCCUGGUAGUCCACGCCGUAAACGAUGAGAACUAGGUGUUGCGGGUAUUGACCCCUGCAGUGCC
Molecule: ribosomal RNA, 313 nt
Filed under: uncultured delta proteobacterium
Lineage: Bacteria; Deltaproteobacteria
Description: bacterial SSU rRNA
Rfam family: Bacterial small subunit ribosomal RNA
Source: RNAcentral